Molecule: long non-coding RNA, 944 nt
Organism: Carassius gibelio (silver crucian carp)
Lineage: Eukaryota; Metazoa; Chordata; Actinopteri; Cypriniformes; Cyprinidae
Exons: 4
Source: RefSeq, a predicted model, not a curated record
AGAGGGCAAGAGUAAUUCACUCUCUAACAAAAUCCUGCAUAAGAACAUUUUCUGAUGUUUUAUCAUGGAAAUAUAACCCAGAGAAUAUGCCCUCCAAAGCAUCUGCAUAUGUCAAAAAAGCAUAUUGGGCAUGACAACAUUUUCUUAUUUCAAAGGUUCUCAAAAAAAGGAGCACGUAGAGGGCAAGAGUAAUUCACUCUCCAACGAAAUCCUGCAUUAGAACUUUUUCUGAUGUUUUAUUAUGGAAUUAUAACCAAGAGAAUAUUACCUCCAAAGCAACUGUAUAUGCGAAAAAGCAUAUUAGGCAUGGCAUCAUUUUCUUGUUUCAAAGGUUCUCAAAAAAAGGAGCAUGUAGAGGGCAAGAGUAAUUCACUCUCUAACAAAAUCCUGCAUAAGAACAUUUUCUGAUGUUUUAUCAUGGAAAUAUAACCCAGAGAAUAUGCCCUCCAAAGCAUCUGCAUAUGUCAAAAAAGCAUAUUGGGCAUGACAACAUUUUCUUAUUUCAAAGGUUCUCAAAAAAAGGAGCACGUAGAGGGCAAGAGUAAUUCACUCUCCAACGAAAUCCUGCAUUAGAACUUUUUCUGAUGUUUUAUUAUGGAAUUAUAACCAAGAGAAUAUUACCUCCAAAGCAACUGUAUAUGCGAAAAAGCAUAUUAGGCAUGGCAUCAUUUUCUUGUUUCAAAGGUUCUCAAAAAAAGGAGCAUGUAGAGGGCAAGAGUAAUUCACUCUCUAACAAAAUCCUGCAUAAGAACAUUUUCUGAUGUUUUAUCAUGGAAAUAUAACCCAGAGAAUAUGCCCUCCAAAGCAUCUGCAUAUGUCAAAAAAGCAUAUUGGGCAUGACAACAUUUUCUUAUUUCAAAGGUUCUCAAAAAAAGGAGCAUGUAGAGGGCAAGAGUAAUUCACUUUCUAACGAGAUCCUGCAUUAGAACAUUUUCUGAUGUUUU